UUCGCCGUUUGACGGCUCAUAUAAAUAUCGCGUAAUUCGCGAUCUCGCGCUUUUGCGACUCGAGCAGGGGACGGGGUAUGUCCUGUCAUUUUAACGUUGGAAAAGUUCGCAACCCUGCUUUCGAAUCGAUUGUGACUUUUUCUGCAUAUUCUAAUCUUUGCUGGCAAGUAAUAACAGGAUCUCUUAGAAUAUAAAACGACGAGAAACGGCAUGAAGGAUCGUUCAUUGUUUCAUCGGAUUUCUUUACUAAGAAUGCGGCGAAUACGAGAUGGUCGGCUCGAAAUGAAUGGCGUAGCGACUUAUUGAAUUGAUACUGUACACACCUACAUGUCACAUCUACAUGUGACAAAGUAAGCAAUGGGAAGAGAAGAGAGACGGGAAGCAGGCUUGACAAUUCUGUGAGGAGGAGGAGGAAAAGAAGGAGGAGGCUUAGGAAAAACAAUGAGUUUUGAUGGACCAAGUUUGCGAACUAUGUAGCUAUGUAGUUGAUAACUCACUGUUGAUAACUUCACUGCUGCGCAUCAGUCGGUGAGUGACAAAGAUUUUAUCAGGUAACGAAUUUAUGAAAAAUGUAGCAUCCAUCAUUAUAUUAGAAAUAAAUAUAAUA
Acromyrmex echinatior (Panamanian leafcutter ant) is the source of this 607-nucleotide long non-coding RNA. NCBI's taxonomy places the organism in Eukaryota, Metazoa, Arthropoda, Insecta, Hymenoptera, Formicidae. The record is from RefSeq and is a predicted model, not a curated record.